Molecule: long non-coding RNA, 730 nt
Filed under: Sitophilus oryzae (rice weevil)
Lineage: Eukaryota; Metazoa; Arthropoda; Insecta; Coleoptera; Curculionidae
Description: uncharacterized LOC115878884
Source: RNAcentral
AAUGGUGGGAUGGGCCGUAGUCCAGCAUAUUCAGCCUAGUGUCAGUGUUAGUGAGAACUAUGAUCGUGUACGCAGCGCGUGCUAUUUGUGAAUUUAGUCGGUCUGUGGUUUUAGAUGUCCUGCUGCUAAAAAGUAAUUCCAGGUUCUGUCGAUCCUGAUGACGCGUUAAAUGGGAUUCCCCAGGGACCGUCCGUAGUUCCUGAGGAACCAGGGGCGUCCUUCUGCCCCCGCGGUGUGACGACGCUGCUUUUUACGCCGUGUGGCAGGAAUCGCCAGUGAAAGAAUGUGGAAUGGAGUAUGCAGAUGAAGAGGAAAUGUAGAAGAACCAUUUCUAAAGCAUAAUUAUAACGGUCGCGUCGGUUCGUGGUUCUGGAGCUGUUCUAAGGCUUUUCACAGCAUUUUAAGGUCACACUUUUUAUUUGCGUUCAUACUUUCUUUGAUUCGAAUCAUAUAUAAUCCUUUGUAUUUCUUGUCGUUUGUAAAAAUCACAAGAAAUAAUAUCUUUAAUUUUUUUCGAGGUGUCUAUUUCUCAAAAUAAUUUAAAACCAAUUUGACUUUUACUCAGUUAUGCUUAAUUUAUUAUUAAAACACAUUUUUUUUGCUCAAAGUUUAAUGAAAUGUGUGCCAGGAAAUCGGAUCUUCAAUUAACCAUUUUCUUUAUUUCAAGUAUUUUUAUAACAAACAUUAUUAUUUUUUAUAUUUUUAUCUAGUCUCGGUAGUGUUGAAUGGG